This 492-nucleotide ribosomal RNA is filed under the name uncultured bacterium. RNAcentral's name for it is "partial 16S ribosomal RNA". It matches the Rfam family "Bacterial small subunit ribosomal RNA", at positions 29 to 507 of the family's 1533-position model. The record is from RNAcentral.
AGUGAACGCUGGCGGUAGGCCUAACACAUGCAAGUCGAACGGCAGCACAGUAAGCGCUUGCUCUUACGGGUGGCGAGUGGCGGACGGGUGAGGAAUACAUCGGAAUCUUCUUUUUCGUGGGGGAUAACGUAGGGAAACUUACGCUAAUACCGCAUACGACCUACGGGUGAAAGCAGGGGUUCUUCGGACCUUGCGCGAUUGAAUGAGCCGAUGUCGGAUUAGCUAGUUGGCGGGGUAAAGGCCCACCAAGGCGACGAUCCGUAGCUGGUCUGAGAGGAUGAUCAGCCACACUGGAACGGAGACACGGUCCAGACUCCUACGGGAGGCAGCAGUGGGGAAUAUUGGACAAUGGGCGAAAGCCUGAUCCAGCCAUACCGCGUGGGUGAAGAAGGCCUUCGGGUUGUAAAGCCCUUUUGUUGGGAAAGAAAAGCAGCAGGUUAAUACCCCGCUGUUCUGACGGUACCCAAAGAAUAAGCACCGGCUAACUUCGUG